GCGAGCGGCACCGCGCCUACAGCGUCGGCGCGCGCUGCCGGCCCGCGCACCACCACCCGCCGCACCCCAAGGCACCAGCAUCUGCUCCGCUGCUGCCGAGAGCGUCUGCUGAAGACCUAAUGGAACUGGACUUCUCAGCUAACUCGCCACAAGCCAAGGUGAUAGUGUCUCGAACGCCACCGACGGGCGGCUUCGAGGCGCGGCGGCCGAAUGUGGACGAGUACGUCGACAUGUCUCCGCGCAACGCCGCGCUGCUCCCGCGCCGCUCGCCGCCCGCGCCCGCGCAGGCCCCGCCUGUGCCAGAUGGAUAUGUGGAGAUGAACUACAC
This is a long non-coding RNA of Ostrinia nubilalis (European corn borer), 328 nucleotides long. RefSeq lists it as uncharacterized. The transcript is spliced from 3 exons. The record is from RefSeq and is a predicted model, not a curated record. Lineage: Eukaryota; Metazoa; Arthropoda; Insecta; Lepidoptera; Crambidae.